This 357-nucleotide ribosomal RNA is filed under the name uncultured bacterium. Its description in RNAcentral is "bacterial SSU rRNA". It matches the Rfam family "Bacterial small subunit ribosomal RNA", at positions 1 to 334 of the family's 1533-position model. The record is from RNAcentral.
GUACUACUCUCAGAGUUUGAUCCUGGCUCAGGAUGAACGCUGGCGGCGUGCCUAACACAUGCAAGUCGAACGGAACUUUUACUGAUUGAGACUUCGGUUGAUUGAAGUUUAAGUUUAGUGGCGGACGGGUGAGUAACGCGUGAGUAACCUGCCUUUCACAGGGGGAUAACGUUUGGAAACGAACGCUAAUACCGCAUAAUAUAGCGAGACCGCAUGAUCUUGCUAUCAAAGAUUUUAUCGGUGAAAGAUGGACUCGCGUCCGAUUAGGUAGUUGGUGAGGUAACGGCCCACCAAGCCGACGAUCGGUAGCCGGACUGAGAGGUUGAACGGCCACAUUGGGACUGAGACACGGCCCAG